GGCGAUAUAGCUCAGUCCGGUUAGAGCGCGGGAUUCAUAACCCCGAGGUCCCAGGUUCGAUCCCCGGUAUCGCCACCA
Molecule: transfer RNA, 78 nt
Filed under: Methylococcaceae bacterium
Lineage: Bacteria; Pseudomonadati; Pseudomonadota; Gammaproteobacteria; Methylococcales; Methylococcaceae
Also listed under: 2 other names
Description: tRNA-Met
Rfam family: tRNA
About the family: Transfer RNA (tRNA) molecules are approximately 80 nucleotides in length. Their secondary structure includes four short double-helical elements and three loops (D, anti-codon, and T loops).
Source: RNAcentral